GGUUGAUCCUGCCAGUAGUCAUAUGCUUGUCCUAAAGAUUAAGCCAUGCAUGUCUAAGUAUAAACAUUAAUACUGUGAAACUGCGAAUGGCUCAUUAUAUCAGUUAUAAUUUAUUUGAUAGUCUCUUUACUACUUGGAUAACCGUGGUAAUUCUAGAGCUAAUACAUGCGAAAAGCCCAACUUUUUGGAAGGGCUGUAUUUAUUAGAUUAAAAACCAAUGCAAUUGGUGAUUCAUAAUAACUGUGCGGAUCGCAUGGCCUUGUGCCGGCGACGUUUCAUUCAAAUUUCUGCC
RNAcentral lists this ribosomal RNA (292 nucleotides) under uncultured eukaryote. RNAcentral describes it as "partial 18S ribosomal RNA". It matches the Rfam family "Eukaryotic small subunit ribosomal RNA", at positions 6 to 311 of the family's 1831-position model. The record is from RNAcentral.